Molecule: long non-coding RNA, 1947 nt
Filed under: Sarcophilus harrisii (Tasmanian devil)
Lineage: Eukaryota; Metazoa; Chordata; Mammalia; Dasyuromorphia; Dasyuridae
Description: lncRNA (ENSSHAG00000031643.1)
Source: RNAcentral
UGGCACUAACAAGAUGGGAACCGUAACUCAAGCCCUGUCAGAUCAGGAGACAAGGGAGGCAAGGUCAUUUCUGGUAUGAUAAGAACCAUAAUUCUAAGGAAGGACAAGUUUGUUAAGAUAUGAAAACAAAAUUUGAUGGCUUGGCAAAGACAGGAGACAGAGAGGAGGAGCUAAUGACUCAAGUCCUAUGGUAAUCAUGGACAAGGAUGGAGUCAGAGAAGCGGGCACCUGGACACUUUUUAUUUACUACCCAUCACUGUGUCAGAACGGACUCCAAUCCAAAGGACUCCUUACUCAGACCCCGCCUCUUCAUUUUGUACAUCCUUUCAAGCCAAGGGGAGUAGGUAUUGAUAAAAUUCCUGGAAGAAAGAAAAGUUGCAUCCCAACUGAGAAGGGUCGUUAUUAGUUACUGAAACUCCUGUAAGAAUUGCUGAACACGGUUAGACUCAUUACACCAAGGUAAAAGGACCCAUUACUGGACCAGGAGGAGCAGAGGAAGUAGAGACCAGACAAACAAAAUAUAAUUGAGAAAAAAUUCCCACUGCAAAUCCUCUGCAGGUAAAAUUGAGCAGAGAGGUUUAAACCCAAGAACCCUCUUGACUUAAGACUCUGACUUCUGGAUUAAUGUAAUGAAUUCUGAAGAAUAUCUACAGCGGGGAUAUUGGGUCCUGGGAGACUGCUUGGGAUUGCUAUUUAUUACUGCCAGUAUAAUUAUGUUAUACUUGGGUAUCUUCACAAAACUGUGAUCACCAGCAGGAUUUCUAAUUCUGUAAAAUAUCUUCUUGUCUUCUCUCUCAUACCCACUGAUGACUCUCCUUGGACUCCUAUGCAACAGGACCAGAGACUCUUAACUUGGUUGUUUGACCCUUGGUACUUGGAAGUAGAUUGGGAGAUUAAGUGGGUAUGGUGGGAUGAGAGAAACCUUAAUGGAAAGAGAAUUCACCUAAAGGAAAUUUUCUAGGAAUCACAGGGACUUUACCCAGAUCCCUAUCCAUUUAGGCUUAUUUGUGUAAAGGUCUAGGACCAUUCUUGGUUCUGGAAGACACAUAGGGACCAGGUUCCGCUGUAGAAAGGUUGGUGAUUUGGGAUAAUCAAAUUUUAUCAUGGUCCUUGGGGAAGCAUGGUUUUUCUAAUUUAUACCUGACUUUUAAUGAAACAACCCUAAUCCCACAAUUCCAAUCAGGGGGAAUGGAGGACAGUAAAUAUCUCCAACUGAUGGAAAUCAUUGCUGAAAGUUUUUAAGUUGCUGGAUUUGUGUUAGUCCAUGACAGUUUGAGGUGGCCUUAGGUACCAAUGCCUUUGCGUACAGCCUGGAUUCUCAGUACUAGAUUUUGGUCACCUGCUGAGAAACAUAAGUGGCACUUGGUAGAGUAAGGCAUAUAUUGUCUGAAUCAAACUGGAGAGUGAGUGGCUGGGAGAGAGUAAAUGUAAUUGGACUAAGUGCAGAAAAUAUUUAUAAAUAAUGCUACUAACUGCAAUAGGUACAUUUGGAUUGGAUUCAUGUCCAACUAUGCCAUGGUGGCACCUGAGUCCCAAUAAUAAAGGGAGCAGGAAGGAAGAAAAUACUUCUCAAUAGUACAUGCAGUAGCACUGAGGAAUUAUUGAGCACUCUAUUGUCAGGAGAUUUGAUCAAUCUGGCAGAAUAUUGUGGACAAAAUAAAAGGGAUGGGGUAAUUACUAGCCCAUAUUCAUUUAUAGAAUGGGGAUAGAAAAACAACUCAGCAAAGUAUUUUUAGGGAUGCUAGAGUAAGGAAAAUAGAACAUCAAGCCCUAUUGUGCAAAGUUGUGUCUGGAAGAAUGAUCAGCAGUUAUAGAAAUGUAAAUAUUUGUAGAAUGGAACUUAUGCUAUUGAAGGUUGUUCCCUAGGACUCCAGGAUGCACAGUAUUACCCAGAUGCAAAGAAUACCUCUACAAUAUUUUCACAAGAACAACCAGCCUUAAGGGGCU